Molecule: transfer RNA, 72 nt
Filed under: Bombyx mori (domestic silkworm)
Lineage: Eukaryota; Metazoa; Arthropoda; Insecta; Lepidoptera; Bombycidae
Rfam family: tRNA
About the family: Transfer RNA (tRNA) molecules are approximately 80 nucleotides in length. Their secondary structure includes four short double-helical elements and three loops (D, anti-codon, and T loops).
Source: Rfam by way of RNAcentral
UCUUCGGUAGUAUAGUGGUCAGUAUCCCCGCCUGUCACGCGGGAGACCGGAUUUUAAUUCCCCGCCAGAGAG